Molecule: long non-coding RNA, 3494 nt
Organism: Myotis davidii
Lineage: Eukaryota; Metazoa; Chordata; Mammalia; Chiroptera; Vespertilionidae
Exons: 4
Source: RefSeq, a predicted model, not a curated record
GGAGGCGCAGGCGGUGACAGCUGCCGGGGCGGGGCCGCGCAGAGCUGAAGGGCCGCGAUGCCCCCUGGGAGCACUGAUCGCUGCGGCCUGCACGCCCUGCCCUCCCCUGGGCUCUGUCCUGAGGCACCCCCACAGCUGGAUUCAUCCAGGUGGCCACCUGCACCCCCGCCCUUAACGUUCCUAACGCGGCACUAGGCCCCCGCCCGCCGUCACCCACCCGACCAGCCCGGCUGUGCCCGCUCAGGCAGGGACUCCGUGUGUCUGGGCGAGUCGCUGGCUGCGCAAGGGCUGCCCCGGCUGUUGUUCUACGCGGAGGAUUUCCUCUGCUCCCAGGGCACGCGCUCCCCCACCUCCUGCCUCCACUUCCAGGGACAUCAGCAGUCAGUCGCAUUGUAUUUUCCCCUUGAGAAACCUCAUCUGGUUUUUGAACAGCCCAGGGAGCCCCUGUGGAAUCGGCAUCCCUGAGGGAGGGCCAGGGCCCGGGUGUGAAAGAGCCCCGGGUCCCCCACUCAUGCUCACGGGCGGGGCUUCCUGCACCGCAGGCCCCUUUCCAGAGGCAGGCAGUUCGCAGGCUCGCCCCUACUUCCGGCUCCUCCCAGACUGACCAUAGUAGAUGCCGUUCACCUCCCGCAGGAAUCUUUGGAGUCACUCGUCGUCCUCAAGGAGAGCUGAGAGCUGAGUUCCUUCCAGUGGGGUGACGUCCCUCAGCCGUGGGAUGUAUCUGAAAAUCAGCUGUGCCUCCAAUGAGUCUGUCUCAUCCAGAACAUCUUUACGCUAGCCUCACAGAGUGGAAGCCUGCUGGAGGACCCACCUGGCCUUUGGGGAAAAUUCCCACUGUAUUCAGAGCCUCCCCUACCCCUGAACACUUUUAGGCAGAACUCUUUUGGGCUGGGCUCAGCCCACCAAUCCUCCCUGGGAAUUCAACUGGGUCUCACCCACUUGUUAGAAGCCCUGGGCUUCCCCCUCUCUUGUCCCUAUAGGCAUCGUAUCCAUUCCACACAAGGUAAGAAUCCCGAGGAGAUUGGAGAGGUUCCUCUAAGGAAGUCUGUCUCAACAUCCCUUCUCUGGAGGGGAGCCCACAGGACCCGCCUAACUGGAAAGAGCCCCUUGGACUUCUUGCCAGAGGCCCAUGAUUCCUUCUCCCAGGAGCAGAGACCUUCAUUCCCUUUCUGCCAGCAUUUAGGUGAAACAGGGUUCCCUUGAAUGCGCAGGAAGAGAAUUUCAUAUGAACCAGGGUCAGGAGAAUGUGUUGAGAUGGAACCUUGAAGCUGGUUUAGCUUACCACAAGGACUCCAAGACCUCCUCACCAUCCUCUGUCAGGAGUUGCUGUGAAAUGAGAAAGGGAAGAACUCACUUACCUGCUUAAUACUAGGUUUUGCCCUACAUUAGGCACCAAAUAAAACCUCACUUAUACUUUUCCUGUUUUGAGGACCCAGCCUCCCAGCUUUUUUGGUGAAGGGGUUAAUACAAUAUUUUUUUAAAACUAAUUUCUACUAAAACCCUGUCAUAUCCCCUAUAAGUGAAACUGGCUCAUGGCCAUUUUGUUUAGAUUUUUUUGAAAAUACAAGGAAGCCUUCUCUUAAAUAUGUUCUCCUUAUAUGCUUAAAAAUAUCACCUUACAGCCUUUCUCUCCUGAUUGGGUAAAUAAAUUGUACUUGUUUUUUUGGCUUAUUUUCAUCUUUUCUUUGGACUUGCUAUUACUCUUUAGGGCCCUAGGAAGGAGCAGAAUUCAACCUACUUUAGCCAUCAGCCAAGUAUAACUAUUUAAAAUCAAUUAAAAUUAAACACAAUUGAAAAUUUAGUUCCUGAGUUGCACUAGCCACAUUUCAAGAGCUCAAAAGUCAUAUGUAGCUAGUGGUACCUGCUGUAUUGGACAGCAUAGAUUUAGAACACAUCCAUCAGUGCAGAAAGUCCUUUUAGAUCUAGUAUAGAGGACUAGUAAGCCUGCCUCGCCCUCUUUGUAAUCUCAUUUUAUUAGUCAAUACAUAUUUGUAAUAACUUCACUGUUAUAGGAUAGCUUUCAGAGGGGGUCAAGGAUAGGGGUGGGAAAUAGCAAGGAAAUUAUAGGUCCUAUAAAAGUUUCAGGAGGCAUGGCAUAGUGGCCAGAGGUUGAUGACCAAUGGCAGGGGAGUCAGCUUUUAAGGAAGUACUUUAGGGGCUGAUAUUCAUAUGUACCAACACAGGGCCACCCACACUCUGACAAGAGUAGGCAGGCUCCGGUCUCCUGUAUUAGGGCUGCAUAAUACCUAAAAAACAAAAGACUGCCCUGUGGCCUUGCUGAAACUGAGUAGCUAAGGUGAUUGCUUUUUACUAAUCAUUUCUAGAUCUUGAUUUCAUAUACUGCUUUGUCACUGUCCUGUUCUCCCAAGUGUCAGUGACAUAAGCAGCGCUAAUGUUUAUAAAAGGCUUGCUGACCCUGCCAUCUGCACACCAACAGCUGGGAGAAGUCUGGGUCCUAUCAAUUAACCUACUGAUGUUGAGACUACAUUUACUAAGGGUCCAGCUAGCUAAGGCUGUUCUUCCACUGAACACUUGAACAACUAUGCCAGGCACUGGCUCUAGGGCCUAAGCGAGGCUAGUCUAUGGAUAUGACCAGUUUCCCUGCAUCUAGAACAGUAGUUCUCAACUAGGGAUGAUCGUGCACUCCCCUCCCCUGACAUCUCAUCCUGCAAUGUCUGGAGAAAUCUGUUGUCACAACUGGUGGAGUGGUGCUACUUACAUGUAGUAGAUAGAGUCCAGAGACUCUUAAGUAGCCUACAAUGCACAACCUUCUCCCCACCACCAAAAAAUUAGCUCACUCAAAAUGUGUCAACAGUGCUGAGGUUGAGAAGCCCUGGUCUAGACCAUAACAUGAACCAGUUCUUCACGCCAAGACCAAUCACAAGGUCCAGGCUCAGUAGGAUAGUAAGUAAGGCUAGCAGGUAUCUGAUAAAUUGGGAGGGAAAACAAUUAGAAGUUGAUCGAACGGUAGCUAGUAUAACGAGUGUUUUUAACUGCACCAGAAAGCUAAGAGCUAAGGUCAUAGUGCGAUUGGAGUUAAGGAUUCCAGGUAUGUAGCAAGUCUGUUGAAAAUGAGGUCCCGGGUACAGCCACAUGGGUAGAGAGGAGCAAGUUUAAACAGUCUGACUUUGAUACAGUGGUCAAUAGCUAAACCUAUAGGGAAGACCUGCAAUAAAGAGAUGAGCUGCUGGGUAUGGAUAUACCAGUUUUUCUCAACAUUUUUGUAACCCACACCUCUACUCAUACAUCUAAAAAUCUUACAUUUUCCUUCCAGUGAUCCUUAAAUUUUCAAAAUUAAGUAUCACAACUAAAAUCAAUUUAAAAAUGGUAAUCUUGGAAUGCAAAACUUUAUUCAGAUGAUAUGAUAACCAUGUCACAGUUACACCUUAACUUUUUUUCCUGGGCGGUGUAGAAGAUGCAACAAAACGCAAGCUGUUUAACAACAUUCUUUCACUGUUUUCUCCCCACAGCUAGAUAUAGCAAAAAAAAGAAAA